GGCGUCACUGCAGGGCGGGCGUCACUGCAGGGCGUCACUCCCGGGCGUCACUGCAGGGCGUCACUCCCGGGCGUCACUGCAGGGCGUCACUCCCGGGCGUCACUGCAGGCUCACGGAACACUGGAGAAGCGGUUGGUUGUCUUGGUGGCGCUCACGGAACACUGGAGAAGCGGUUGUCUUGGUGGUGGGAGCGCUGCGGACGGGACCCUGGACUGCACGGGUCGGGCUCCGGCCCUGAGCUACACUUCUUUUUUAUUCUGCAUUUUCACCUUCUGUAGUCACCAUGCUUCAUUUGCCGUUUUACGGUGACUUUCGUCAUUGGUUGAAUGCAUGAGGAGCAGACUUCAGUCUUCCUCCGCGCACGGGCGCCCAGGGGCCACGGUGUCAGCGCUGCUGGUGGGAGCUGCGGCUCUGGCAGCUGGCGUGGGCGUGCUUCCGUACCUUCACGUCCUUCAGUCCCCACCCCCUGGCCCAGGGACCCGUGUGGAGAGAGGCAAGCUGGAGGCCACCCGUCAACUGAACACACCUGGUUUCUCUCCCCUUCCCUUCGUCUUCUGAGUCAGGGCCCCACGACGUAGCCAAGGCUGCCCUUGGGCUUGCGCGGGCCCUGUAGUGCGGGGUUUACACACAAGCUCCCCUGUAGGGUAACGAAAGGGCGGGACCGUGCCGCUAACCACACCCACUUUGGGCGUGACUAGAGACCACAUCCAUAUACGGGUCUCUAGAGCGCCACGUGGCUAAGGGCGGAGGCCUCAGUUUCCCCCACACUCCCCACACUGGCUCCAAAGGUAAUCUUUUUUGAUUGUUUGUUUGUUUUUGGUUUUUUCCAGACAGGGUUUCUCUGUACUGUUUUGGAGGCUGCCCUGGCACUCGCUCUGUGCAAAGGUCUGCAGUCGAUCUGGCUGGAAUGACCACGUCUGAGUGUAAGGCGAGUGUGUUCAGGAGUUUCCCUGACUCAGAAGACUUCCUCCUCCUUCCCUCUCCUCCUUCAUGCAGCCAUGAUGCUGGAGCUGAAGCUGGAGCAGCCUUGGACCAUGUGACAGAAGGCAACUAUGGAUCAUUCCGGAACAAGACAGAGGCGGUCUCUAAUGCUUGUAACAAAAUUUGAGAUGACGAGUCGCCCUCAGGGAAACUUUCCCCUCUGAUUGCAGGACGACACACUCUAGAAGAGAAGCAGACCUCCAGGGCCCCCUCUGUCCUGCUGUUUUGAUUUUCAUUUUAUUUAUUUAAUUAUCUAUUUCGGUUUUGAAGUUUUGAAAGCAUUUCACUGUGUAUCCCCUGGCUGGCCCUCACUCAGUGUGUAUGAGGGCCUCUGCAAACAUCACAGCCAGAAGCAAAGUAACCCGAGAAGAGACGUGAAUGAAACUCGGUUCAGCUCAACUUUAGUUGCCCCGCGCUGGUUCAAACUCCUGGAGUCUGACACCAGGUGGCUUGACUUAGCCCUAUUUAAGCACAAUUUUGGAGAAAAGUUUCCUGAUGACUCAAUCCCAUGUGUAGAGCAAAGCUUAAGACAUACUUACAUUGAAACUCUUCACAAACCGCAUGCGGACUCUUUUCAUAAGGAUGGGUUCUGUAGACUUACAAACAAAGCUCAUGAUAAGGGUCUAGGGAGAACGACGGAGGUAAACGCGAUGCCUGUGGGACUCAGGAUUGGCCUGGCCCUAAGAUAACAUGGAAGUCACUUAGGCUGUAGUAAACUGUAAGUGACAUUUCUUAUGAGGAUGGUUUUAUGGACUAAGAACCAAUGCUCAAGAUCUGGGGCGGGGGAGUCUGUGCUAAAUAAUAUAACAAUAUUCUGGGGGAUUCGGGUGCAGCCUGGCCCUGCAGAUAGCAAAGAUCACCAGGUUGUAAGCCACAUCCUUUUCCAGAAUUCCAAGCAGAAGACAGCUAAGCAUCUCCUUGCUUUGAAGAGACAAGCAUUCGUGUUUCUCUUUCUGGUUUCCCUUGUGCUUAUCUGUGUGCAGGGACCUCUUUCCU
Long non-coding RNA from Mesocricetus auratus (golden hamster), 1977 nucleotides. RefSeq lists it as uncharacterized. The record is from RefSeq and is a predicted model, not a curated record. NCBI's taxonomy places the organism in Eukaryota, Metazoa, Chordata, Mammalia, Rodentia, Cricetidae. The transcript has 3 exons.